RNAcentral lists this long non-coding RNA (207 nucleotides) under Elaeis guineensis (African oil palm). Its description in RNAcentral is "long non-coding RNA (EGUI_LNC020102)". Lineage: Eukaryota; Viridiplantae; Streptophyta; Magnoliopsida; Arecales; Arecaceae. The record is from RNAcentral.
UCUCCUUCCAAAUGGGCAGAUUUUUUAUAUAAUUUGACCCUAAGAAAAACCUACAUGUAUUUUUUACAUGUAUUUUUUUAUUUUUAGAAAAAUUAUAUAUGUUUGUUUUUAUACUCUAAUAAUUUUUGUAUUAUGUGAUAAAAAUUGUCAUAUGUAAGGUUCAUUAUAUGGCUCUUGUUCAUCUAACAUUCACUUAAUAUUUCCCAC